This 459-nucleotide ribosomal RNA is filed under the name uncultured bacterium. RNAcentral's name for it is "partial 16S ribosomal RNA". It matches the Rfam family "Bacterial small subunit ribosomal RNA", at positions 338 to 795 of the family's 1533-position model. The record is from RNAcentral.
CCUACGGGGCGCAGCAGUGAGGAAUAUUGGUCCAUGGCCGAGAGGCUGAACAAGCCAAGUCGCGUGAGGGAAUAAGGCCCUACGGGUUGUCAAACUCUGUUGUCGGUGAGCAAAGCGUACCACGGGUGGGUCAUUUAGAGUACCCGAAGAAAAAGCAUCGGAUAACUACGUGACAGCAGCCGCGGUAGAAAGGAGGAUGGAAGACAUAGCCGGAUUGUUUGGGGUAACAGGGUGCGCAGGCGGAGGGGAAACUCAGCGGUCAACGUGCGGGGCUCAAACCCGUACUGCCGUGGAAACGGCAUCCGUUGAGUGCGCGAGAAGUAUGCGGAAUGCGUGGUGUAGCGGUGAAAUGCAUAGAUAUCACGCAGAACUCCGAUUGCGAAGGCAGCAUACCGGCGCGCAACUGACGCUCAUGCACGAAAGCGGGGGUAUCGAACAGGAUUAGAUACCCGUGUAGUC